GACCGGCGCACGGGUGAGUAACGCGUAUGCAACCUACCUAUAACAGGGGGAUAACCCGGAGAAAUUCGGACUAAUACCGCAUAAAACAGGGGCUCCGCAUGGAGAUAUUUGUUAAAGAUUUAUCGGUUAUAGAUGGGCAUGCGUUCCAUUAGCCAGUUGGUGAGGUAACGGCUCACCAAAGCAACGAUGGAUAGGGGAACUGAGAGGUUUGUCCCCCACACUGGAACUGAGACACGGACCAG
Molecule: ribosomal RNA, 242 nt
Filed under: uncultured bacterium
Lineage: Bacteria
Description: partial 16S ribosomal RNA
Rfam family: Bacterial small subunit ribosomal RNA
Source: RNAcentral